AUCUGCUUUAGAAAAGAAACAUUCAGUUAUCUGUUGAAUUUCCAUAUUCUGAUAUAUCUUUCAUUGUGUGUUGUGACGACCUUUUGCAUUCCAACAGCCAAGCAUCUUACAGAAGGUUGAGAAGUUCUAGGAAUGAGAUCAAUGUGAGUGUCUUCUGAGAGCCUUCUUGCUUUCUUUACUUGGACGACUCCAUAUGAAUCUCUCGAGGAGUUUGAUAUGCUGCUGCUGCUUUCAUUCAUAAUGCACCUUGAAAAAGCCUCACCUGAGUCCUGCUCCAAGAAUCGUAACACACCAUCUAUUCCACCCACAACUAAUGUUGAUUUGUCACUUCGCAAGUGAUGCAUAGAAUAUAUAACAUUUGGACUCACUCGGGUAUUCCAUAAAGUCCUCAUUGUCCUCCAGAAUUGGUUGACCUUAAUGCAGCUACCCGCUGAUCAGAGGAAAGAUCUG
Non-coding RNA from Camellia sinensis, 450 nucleotides. The record is from RefSeq and is a predicted model, not a curated record. NCBI's taxonomy places the organism in Eukaryota, Viridiplantae, Streptophyta, Magnoliopsida, Ericales, Theaceae.